RNAcentral lists this ribosomal RNA (354 nucleotides) under bacterium LimA-1-J-59. RNAcentral describes it as "bacterial SSU rRNA". It matches the Rfam family "Bacterial small subunit ribosomal RNA", at positions 289 to 633 of the family's 1533-position model. The record is from RNAcentral.
GGUCUGAGAGGAUGAUCCGCCACACUGGGACUGAGACACGGCCCAGACUCCUACGGGAGGCAGCAGUGGGGAAUAUUGGACAAUGGGGGGAACCCUGAUCCAGCCAUGCCGCGUGUGUGAAGAAGGCCUUUUGGUUGUAAAGCACUUUAAGCGAGGAGGAGGCUACUUACAAUUAAUCUCUUAAAUUAGUGGACGUUACUCGCAGAAUAAGCACCGGCUAACUCUGUGCCAGCAGCCGCGGUAAUACAGAGGGUGCGAGCGUUAAUCGGAUUUACUGGGCGUAAAGCGUACGUAGGCGGCUUUUUAAGUCGGAUGUGAAAUCCCUGAGCUUAACUUAGGAAUUGCAUUCGAUAC